Molecule: RNA transcript, 2888 nt
Organism: Poecile atricapillus (Black-capped chickadee)
Lineage: Eukaryota; Metazoa; Chordata; Aves; Passeriformes; Paridae
Gene: DHRS11
Gene name: dehydrogenase/reductase 11
Exons: 7
Source: RefSeq, a predicted model, not a curated record
UUCCCGUUCCCGGGGCGGGCCCGGCGGGCGGUGCUUUGUGCGGCGGUGGCGGGGCCGGGCCGGGCCGGGGCCAUGGAGCGCUGGACCGGCCGUGUGGCGCUGGUCACCGGCGCCUCGGUGGGCAUCGGCGCGGCCGUGGCGCGGGCGCUGGUGCAGCACGGCAUGAAGGUGGUGGGAUGCGCUCGCAGCGUCGAUAAGAUCGAGAAGCUGGCAGCUGAGUGCCAGAGUGCCGGCUACCCGGGCACGCUGAUCCCGUACAAGUGUGACCUGUCCAACGAGGAGGAGAUCCUGUCCAUGUUCUCGGCCAUCAAGACCCUUCACCAGGGUGUGGACGUCUGCAUCAACAACGCGGGGCUGGCCCGGCCCGAGCCCCUGCUCUCGGGGAAGACAGAGGGCUGGAGAACCAUGAUAGAUGUGAAUGUGAUGGCUGUGAGCAUCUGCACCCGGGAGGCCUAUCAGUCCAUGAAGGAGAGAAACAUUGACGAUGGACACAUAAUUAACAUUAACAGCAUGAACGGGCACAGCGUGGUGCCCCAGUCCGUGGUGCACUUUUACAGUGCCACCAAGUACGCGGUGACGGCGCUGACCGAGGGGCUGCGGCAGGAGCUGCGCGAGGCCAGGACCCACAUCCGAGCCACAGAUGUGCUCUGCUUUAUUCCAGUGUAUAUCUCCAGGACUGGUGGAAACAGGAUUUGCUUUUAAACUUCAUGAUAACGACCCCGAGAGGGCUGCUGCAACCUAUGAGAGCAUUCGGUGUCUCAAGGCUGAAGAUAUGGCCAAUGCUGUCAUCUAUGUCCUCAGUGCCCCUCCUCAUGUACAGAUCGGGGAUAUACAGAUGAGGCCCACGGAGCAGAUCUCCUAGCAGAGGAGGAGGAUGAGGAGCACCACAAGCAGCACCGUGUCCACUCCACCUGGAACCCUCUGGCAGCCCAGGGUUCCCUCGGCUGGCUGGCAGCGUUUUAAUCAAGUACCAAGGAUCAUGUUUGAAGAAUUAUUUUUCUCUCCCUCUCUCUGAGCUGGUGCUGGUGCUGAGCCAGUUUGAAAAAAAACAACAAAACCAGAACCACAAACUCUUAGUGGGCCUCUUUCUCCCCCACUCCUUUCUGAAACUGCUUAAGAGUAAAAAUGUAUUUGAAAAUAAUGCAGGGAAGUGGUUUGUGGAAGAUUGUUUGUCUCCAGGCUGGUUUAUUCUUCCUUUUGCUUUCUUUUCAAGGUUUGUUUGAUCUUAGUUGCUGAUGCUGUGUGUGGACCUAGGUGAAGUGGCACAGGAUGUUUGCCAGCUUCAGUGUGCUUAGGGUUUGAGAUUUUCAGUGGGUGACAUACAUGAAUCCAUCUAUUGAUUCUAUCUAUGAAUCCAUACCUUGAGUUUAUUUUCAUGGGGUUGAUUACUGAUGGUGAUGAUGCAUGUGAUGUUUUCUUUUUCUUUUGUACCCCACUGCUCUAACCCCAGUGUACAACCUCCCCCAGCCCUCCUUUCCCCUUCACAUGAAUCAUGCCUGCCAAGUUUGAGGAAGUAUAAAUGUGUGUGCUUGAUAUUUCUCUUUUUUUCUAGGUAGGUAAUUAGCUGGAGGAAAAGCACCUGUCCCUGGGCAGGUUAGGAUGAUAAUCUAAGUGGCAUAGUUACAGUAAGAGUGAGUUGUUUGGUAUUUUUAAUAAAAACUAAACGUGUGCUGUCUUGUGAUCACCUCUAUCCUUGGUAUCAUCUCCCAGCACUCUCGAUGUUCUGUAUGUGAUAUUUGCAUGCAUUGACACUUUUCUGGAAAUGUGGAUUGCUCUGGUGCUGUUGAAAUGCUGGUGCUGAGGAGCUGGAAAUGGUGGAAGUUUAUUUUUAUGUAGAGACACAAACCCUGAGAGAGAGAGAGAGAGAGAGAGGGAGAUGGAGAUGGAGUGGAACGAGCCGUGCCGAAGGUGUCUGGAACGAGGAGAGGUUUCCAGGGACAUUUGGGCUACAAAAAGCAGCAGGUGAAAGGUCUGGCUGAGGUCUCGUGUUGGGGCAGCCCCGGUGUUUGGCUUUGGGUUUACUCUGAGUUGAGGGAGAAGAGAAUGGGCCCCAGAGCAGAGCUGGAGACUCUCUGCAGGGAGGUCUGCGUGUGUCCAGCUCUCUGUGCAGCUCCUGGACACGUUGCCUUAAGAUUGCAGACCCUGUCCAGCUCCUGCUGGGCUCCAGGCAGCGUUUCAGAAGGUCAGGGAUGGUCAGUUGGUCAGAGCAGAGGACAGAGAGCGUGGGAAAUUGGGCUUGGAUUGUUUGGCUUACACCAGGAGAGCCCUGGGAGCUCAUCUGUGUUACCCCUGCACAAGGGGACCGGAGCUGGGCCACCAAGACACGAGUUCAGCUCCCUGUACAGCCUUGGGCAAGUCACUUUACCUCUCUGCCUCAGUUUCCCCACCUGGAAAAUGGGGAUAGUAACACUCACCUACCUCACAGGGGUGUUGUGAGGACUCACGAGCUUUUGUAAAGCACUUUGACCACGACAGGCGCUGUGUAAGUGCUGAGUGUUGAUACUGAAGUAUUAUUAUGAAUUAAACUUGUGAUACCUAGAAUUCCUUGUGCCAAAGGUGAGCAGCUGUAGGAGGAUACAAGGAGAAAACUGGCAAAAUGUUCCUUUUCAUGAUGGCAAAAACAAAAGGCAAUUUUCCCCUUUUUUUUUCCUCUUUAUUAACACAUGGUGUGUUCUGUCCAUUCCUCACCUGUGGCCAGUUUCUACUGACAAGUGCACCUGGAUUUGGCUUUUUAAUUCAUUGUGAGUGAGAUCCCUACCCCUUGGGAAGUCUUGCACUGUCCUGCUCCAGGAUGCCAAGGUGGUGCCCUUGUGUGGAUGCCCAGCAGGUACCCUGGGCAGUUCAGGAGAAGGUGGUUGAACUAAAGAGGCCAAAAAAAAAAAUAAAAA